CAAAAAACUCUUCCCUCCAUUUUGGAAAAGCGCAUCCUAAACAAAACAUUUCACACUAAGCUGCUCACUCCUCCGUUUCAUACCCACCGGCUCCCUCCUUACUUCAUCACUGAAUUUCACUCACUCAUCUCCCUCUUGUCUCCCUCACUUCACUCGAUCUCCUCUCCUCUCUUCUCUUCAGCGCCGCCGCGCUGUGACCACUGCUCCCACACCGCCCUGUCGUUGCUUUCUUCUUCUCUUUCCUCUUUAUUGUUGGUUGUGUUGUUCUUCUCCGCUACGUCGCCGCCGUUGUCGGUGGCCUCUGGUUCCAACUGUUGAUGCUUCAUCAUCUAUCCGGUAAGCCUUAGAGACCCCAUGCGCAGUGGUGCAGAUGACAGUGAGCUCAUGGAAAUAAUUGGAAGAGCGGUGAAAAGGAAGAAAGCUGCUCAUGCAGGAAUGUUUGACCUAGCAAAUACUGCAAAUAGACCGAUGAUACGCAUUGAUGGCUAAGGCUCGGUGGUGUAUCUUCUUUUAGAACCUUCAGGAGGUCAGUGGUUCAAGUUGUAGAAAGAUAUCUCUCAAACGUGUGUGGAGACUGUACAUUUGACUCCAUUCAUUAUCCUUCUUUUGAUUGGAGCAAAUGCACUGGUUUUCCUUUAUACAUGUUUCUCUGUAUUGGAAUCGUUAUGGCCAAUGGGUUAGAGGUGCUAUGUGUUCAUGGUGGUCUUUCUCCUGAUAUUCGGACAAUUGAUCAGGUUCUUGUCUGAUGUACUUACUUUCAUUGUAACUUGUGAUAUAUGCUGGUGUUGUGGGCAUUUUUU
Long non-coding RNA from Spinacia oleracea (spinach), 800 nucleotides. RefSeq lists it as uncharacterized. Lineage: Eukaryota; Viridiplantae; Streptophyta; Magnoliopsida; Caryophyllales; Amaranthaceae. The record is from RefSeq and is a predicted model, not a curated record. The transcript is spliced from 5 exons.